UUUUGAAAUACCUUUCCUAUGUUAAUUAAAACAAAACAAACAAACUAUUGACAUAAAAUUAUAGUAAUAAUAAUUAUAGCAAGUUUUUUUGAUUUUAUGACAAAAAAGGUAAAUAAAUAUGUAUGAAAUAUAUAUAAAAUCGCCUUGGAAUUUUGGGUAAAAAAGUUUUGCUUCUAAUAUUGUUAGAAAGUUUUAAUCACCACGAAUAAAAGCGGAACAGGAGACAUGGGUAGCACGUAAAACUGUGUUUUAGAGUAAUUAACUUUAGAUAUUUACGAUAAUUUAGAAUGUUUACUAUCUGACAAAAAGGAAAAGCAAAUAUAGAAUGUAAAGAACAAACAGUAAUAAACCUAAAAAUUAGUAGUUUUAUUUACAAAAUAUUACUCUAAAAACUCUAAAAUUCUAGUAAAGCAAACAAAACGAAAAAAAAAAAUUGACAUUAAAAUAAUCGAAAACCCUUUUUAGUCUCAUGAUUUAUAUUGUGAUCUGUCUUGGGACCCAGUGUUAAAAACCAAGAAAUAUUUUACGCUCCAGGCGAUUUUCUUUCGGCUAAAAUCUUAGGGCGAGUGCACAACGAUAGAAUAUCAUGGGUCUUGCUUUUUUAACAAAAACAAUCCUAUAAAUAACAUAAUCAUUUAACCGAGGUA
Molecule: unclassified non-coding RNA, 647 nt
Filed under: Melitaea cinxia (Glanville fritillary)
Lineage: Eukaryota; Metazoa; Arthropoda; Insecta; Lepidoptera; Nymphalidae
Description: misc RNA ENSMCXG00005012363.1
Source: RNAcentral